RNAcentral lists this transfer RNA (75 nucleotides) under Candidatus Thalassarchaeaceae archaeon. RNAcentral describes it as "tRNA-Gly". It matches the Rfam family "tRNA". Rfam says of the family: Transfer RNA (tRNA) molecules are approximately 80 nucleotides in length. Their secondary structure includes four short double-helical elements and three loops (D, anti-codon, and T loops). The record is from RNAcentral. Lineage: Archaea; Methanobacteriati; Thermoplasmatota; Candidatus Poseidoniia; Candidatus Poseidoniales; Candidatus Thalassarchaeaceae.
GCGAGCAUGGUCUAGGGGUUAUGACUGCACGUUCCCAACGUGCCGAGGCGAGUUCGAUUCUCGCUGUUCGCACCA